RNAcentral lists this ribosomal RNA (935 nucleotides) under Plasmodium coatneyi. RNAcentral describes it as "bacterial SSU rRNA". The stretch from base 232 to 935 matches the Rfam family "Eukaryotic small subunit ribosomal RNA", at positions 1 to 1102 of the family's 1831-position model. The record is from RNAcentral. Lineage: Eukaryota; Apicomplexa; Aconoidasida; Haemosporida; Plasmodiidae.
GCUUUCGAACCUCAAGCUUAGUUGUGGCUAAUGAAACAUUCUCGGCAACGCUUCGCAGUAGUUCUCGUGCGGCGGUCACAGGAUUUCACCCCUCGCGUCGCAAUACGAUGCGUCCGUCAGUCCCUAUUAUUCAUUUCCCUUAGACUGUCAUAUCCAUCCAAAUCGAGCCAGGGACGUAUUCUCCAAUUCCAUGAAUAUGUUACAGGCAUACAGAGCCUGCCUUGAGCACUCUAAUUGGUUCAAGGUAACGUCGCCGGCCGCCAACAGGCCCCUCCCAAGACCGGCCCGCCGCCGGAUCUGGCACGAUUACUACGGCCAGUUGAUAUUUCCGAGCCCAGCAGUGACGCCCGAGCGACACCGCCAGGCAUACCCGACCGGACACGCACUGAUAUCCAACUACGAGCUUAUUACCCGCACCAGCUUUAAUAUCGCUUUUAGCUUAAAUCCACAUAACAGACACUUGGUGUCGAGGCUGUGCGCAUUUUCGCUAUUAUGUGUUCUUUUAAUUAAAAUGAUUCUUUUUAAAUCUCUAAUAUUUGCUUCGGCAUUUUUGGAGAUUGGUUACUUUGAGUAAAUUAGAGUGUUCAAAGCAAACAGAUAUAGCAUUUGUGCGUUUGAAUACUACAGCAUGGAAUAACAAAAUUGAACAAGUCAAAAUUUUUGUUCUUUUUUCUUAUUUUGGGUUAGUUACGAUUAAUAGGAGUAGCUUGGGGGCAUUUGUAUUCAGAUGUCAGAGGUGAAAUUCUUAGAUUUUCUGGAGACAAACAACUGCGAAAGCAUUUGCCUAAAAUACUUCCAUUAAUCAAGAACGAAAGUUAAGGGAGUGAAGACGAUCAGAUACCGUCGUAAUCUUAACCAUAAACUAUGCCGACUAGGCUUUGGAUGAAAGAUUUUAAAAUAAGAGUUUUCCUUUCCCUUCGGGGUUAGGACUCAAA